Molecule: ribosomal RNA, 274 nt
Filed under: Enterobacter asburiae
Lineage: Bacteria; Pseudomonadati; Pseudomonadota; Gammaproteobacteria; Enterobacterales; Enterobacteriaceae
Also listed under: 1 other name
Description: partial 16S ribosomal RNA
Rfam family: Bacterial small subunit ribosomal RNA
Source: RNAcentral
AGAGCAAGCGGACCUCAUAAAGUGCGUCGUAGUCCGGAUUGGAGUCUGCAACUCGACUCCAUGAAGUCGGAAUCGCUAGUAAUCGUAGAUCAGAAUGCUACGGUGAAUACGUUCCCGGGCCUUGUACACACCGCCCGUCACACCAUGGGAGUGGGUUGCAAAAGAAGUAGGUAGCUUAACCUUCGGGAGGGCGCUUACCACUUUGUGAUUCAUGACUGGGGUGAAGUCGUAACAAGGUAACCGUAGGGGAACCUGCGGUUGGAUCACCUCCUUA